AAGUGCGAUAUUUAAUGCGAUUUGCAUGAAUCUGUGAGUCAUCGAGUCUUUGAACGCAACUUGCGCCUUUUAGGCAUGUCUGUUUGAGUACCUGUAAACCAAUGCAGCAAUGCGACCUGGUCCACCUGUGGAGUGGAUCUAAAUUGAUUAUAUACUACUCGGGGAGUGAUGUGUGGUGUUUUGGAGCUGGGACCAGUAGGUCUUUCCAAAGGGCUAUAUAUUUACUCUAUAAAUUAGGUCUCAAAUCAGGCAAGACUACCCGCUGAACUUAA
Molecule: unclassified non-coding RNA, 272 nt
Filed under: uncultured fungus
Lineage: Eukaryota; Fungi
Description: sequence contains ITS1
Rfam family: 5.8S ribosomal RNA (bases 1-93)
Source: RNAcentral